GACGAACGCUGGCGGCGUGCUUAACACAUGCAAGUCGAACGGAAAGGCCUGCUUUCCCUUGUGGAUUGCGGGUACUCGAGUGGCGAACGGGUGAGUAACACAUGAGUGAUCUGCCCCCAACUUGGGUAUAAGCCUGGGAAACUGGGUCUAAUUCCCGAUAGGACUGCAGGGUGGUGCCUGUGGUGGAAAACGAUUUUCUAGUGGUUGGGGAUGAGCUCGCGGCCUAUCAGCUUGUUGGUGGGGUAAUGGCCUACCAAGGCGGCGACGGGUAGCCGGCCUGAGAGGGUGGACGGCCACAUUGGGACUGAGAUACGGCCCAGACUCCUACGGGAGGCAGCAGUGGGGAAUAUUGCACAAUGGGCGGAGGCCUGAUGCAGCGACGCCGCGUGGGGGAUGACGGCCUUCGGGUUGUAAACUCCUUUCGACCGCGAGGAAGCCACCUGGUUGGAAGGGUGGUGACGGUAGUGGUAGAAGAAGCACCGGCUAACUACGUG
Molecule: ribosomal RNA, 494 nt
Filed under: uncultured bacterium
Lineage: Bacteria
Description: partial 16S ribosomal RNA
Rfam family: Bacterial small subunit ribosomal RNA
Source: RNAcentral